UUUUCAGCAGCCGCGGUAAUACGUAGGACGCAAGCGUUAUCCGGAUUUAUUGGGUUUAAAGGGUGCGUAGGCGGACAAAUAAGUCAGCGGUGAAAUACUGUCGCUUAACGAUAGCAUUGCCGUUGAUACUGUGUGUCUUGAGUACAGUUGAGGUAGGCGGAAUGUGUAGUGUAGCGGUGAAAUGCUUAGAUAUUACACAGAACACCGAUUGCGAAGGCAGCUUACUAAGCUGAAACUGACGCUGAUGCACGAAAGCGUGGGGAUCAAACAGGAUUAGAAACCCGGGUAGUCC
This 292-nucleotide ribosomal RNA is filed under the name uncultured bacterium. RNAcentral describes it as "partial 16S ribosomal RNA". It matches the Rfam family "Bacterial small subunit ribosomal RNA", at positions 505 to 796 of the family's 1533-position model. The record is from RNAcentral.